AUAGCGACCCUAACAAAAGCAUUGAACAAUUUUGUUUGCAGUAAGUGCUUUUUGUUGGGGUAGCUGUU
Molecule: non-coding RNA, 68 nt
Organism: Salmo salar (Atlantic salmon)
Lineage: Eukaryota; Metazoa; Chordata; Actinopteri; Salmoniformes; Salmonidae
Source: Rfam